AGUCUGGUGCCAGCAGCCGCGGUAAUUCCAGCUCCAAUAGCGUAUAUUAAAGUUGUUGCGGUUAAAAAGCUCGUAGUUGGAUCUCGGUUUCACUCAGGUGGUACACCUUGCGGUGUUCACUAUCUGGGUGGACGUUUCUGUUGGUUCGCUCUUGGUGCUCUUCAUCGGGUGCCAUUUGGUGGCCAGCACGUUUACUUUGAAAAAAUUGGAGUGCUCAAAGCAGGCGUUACAGCCUGAACAUUAGUGCAUGGAAUAAUGGAAUAGGAUCUCGAUUCUAUUUCGUUGGCUUUCGGAGUCGAGGUAAUGAUUAAUAGGGACAGACGGGGGCAUUCGUACUGCGACGUUAGAGGUGAAAUUCUUGGAUCGUCGCAAGACGAACUACUGCGAAAGCAUUUGCCAAGAAUGUUUUCAUUAAUCAAGAACGAAAGUUAGAGGUUCGAAGGCGAUCAGAUACCGCCCUAGUUCUAACCAUAAAUGAUGCCAACCGGCGAUCCGUCGUCGUUAAUUGAAUGACUCGACGGGCAGCCUCCGGGAAACCAGAGUGUUUGGGUUCCGGGGGAAGUAUGGUUGCAAAGCUGAAACUUAAAGGAAUUGACGGAAGGGCACCACCAGGAGUGGAGCCUGCGGCUUAAUUUGACCCAACACGGGAAAUCUCACCAGGCCCGGACACCGGAAGGAUUGACAGAUUGAGAGCUCUUUCUUGAUUCGGUGGGUGGUGGUGCAUGGCCGUUCUUAGUUGGUGGAGCGAUUUGUCUGGUUAAUUCCGAUAACGAACGAGACUCUGGCCUACUAACUAGAAGGUCUAUCCUUUAUGGGUAGGCCUCUGCUUCUUAGAGGGACGGGCGGCGUUUAGCCGCACGAGAAUGAGCAAUAACAGGUCUGUGAUGCCCUUAGAUGUUCUGGGCUGCACGCGCGCUACACUGAAGGAAUCAGCAUGUUCUCCCCUCCCUGAAAAGGGCGGGUAACCCGUUGAAACUCCUUCGUGAUGGGGAUUGGAGAUUGUAAUUAUUCUCCAUGAACGAGGAAUUCCCAGUAGGCGCGAGUCAUCAGCUUGCGUCGAUUACGUCCCUGCCCUUUGUACACACCGCCCGUCGCUACUACCGAUCGAGUGAUUUAGUGAGGACUUCGGACUGGUCUUCAAGUUGGCUUCGGUCGGCUCGAAGUUCCGGAAAGAUGCCCAAACUUGAUCACUUAGAGGAAGUAAAAGUCGUAACAAGGUUUCCGUAGGUGAACCUGCGGAAG
This 1242-nucleotide ribosomal RNA is filed under the name metagenome. RNAcentral describes it as "SSU rRNA". It matches the Rfam family "Eukaryotic small subunit ribosomal RNA", at positions 558 to 1823 of the family's 1831-position model. The record is from RNAcentral.